UACGUAGGGUGCAAGCGUUGUCCGGAAUUAUUGGGCGUAAAGAGCUCGUAGGCGGUUUGUCGCGUCGAAUGUGAAAACCCGGGGCUCAACCCCGGGCCUGCAUUCGAUACGGGCAGACUAGAGUUCGGUAGGGGAGUCUGGAAUUCCUGGUGUAGCGGUGAAAUGCGUAGAUAUCUGGAGGAAUACCGGUGGCGAAGGCGGCUCACUGGCCCGGUACUGACGCUGAGGUGCGAAAGCGUGGGGAGCAAACAGG
RNAcentral lists this ribosomal RNA (253 nucleotides) under uncultured bacterium. RNAcentral describes it as "partial 16S ribosomal RNA". It matches the Rfam family "Bacterial small subunit ribosomal RNA", at positions 524 to 776 of the family's 1533-position model. The record is from RNAcentral.